Brassica oleracea var. oleracea is the source of this 1840-nucleotide long non-coding RNA. RefSeq lists it as uncharacterized. NCBI's taxonomy places the organism in Eukaryota, Viridiplantae, Streptophyta, Magnoliopsida, Brassicales, Brassicaceae. The transcript has 5 exons. The record is from RefSeq and is a predicted model, not a curated record.
AAGAUUCCGUAUUACCACAAGAUUUUUGUAACAGACGAAGUAAAUUAGAGCCUUCCCUCCCCAGCGAUUAAUUGUUAGACGUUAAUGAUGGCACUCAAUCGUAGAAAUCCAAAGCAUCGUCAUCCUUACAACUUCCCUACCUUUUUCACUAUUUUAGGUACACUAUAUCUGGAAUUGAAAAGGAGGGCUCUGGUCAACUAAUCGUCACGCUAUCUCCAAUGAAUCAUGUGAAUCCUCAACUGCUUCUGUCUGAGUUAAAGGCCGGUCGGUAUAAGAAAACUGUUGCUAACCUUCUCCUCAGUUUUUGGGACGCAGAAAGUUGGAGAGAGCUUAUGGUUCUGGUUGAUUAGAAGGGGGAAACUCUGGCGUUUUUGAAGGCGUGUUGUCAAUGACAAAAGUGUAAAGAAAGACUGAUAAUAUUAGUUGCUCCAAAAGUGUAUUCUAAGUAUCAUACUUAAUCAUGUCUUUUCUAUUUUUGUAUAAAGGGGGGUUGUGUUGCUUUCGUUUUUGGAUGCGUUGUCAAAUAUUAGCACAGACAUUUAUUCCUUGGUUACUGAAGCUAAUGACAAAUGACCUCUAUCAGUUAGCCGCUGUUGCGUUUUGUCUACUCCUAGCCUGGAUUAGUGAUAAGCUAUGGUUAAGUCUAGAACUAUGUUCUUUUGCCGCAGGGGUCAUGAUAUCAACUAGGGAUCUCGAUAAACAUACAUUGGGCAAGUAAGUUGUGAUCAUGUAUUACCAAAAAGACUGCUUUCAUCUACUUGUCUCUUUUUUCAUCUCCCAGAACUGUUUUCUGUGUCUUCGCUGAUUUAAUUUGAUCAUAGUCGAGGUUCUCAUUGCAAGGUGAGUUAUGUCUAGGCUAGAAAGUAAUCUGUUGACAAGUAUGUAAUGUUAAACCCUUAAAGAGUCCAUAGACUGACCCAUGUGCUUUAUAUUUUGAUUCAGAUCGAACCAUCCUAAUAUGUUGUAUUAAACAUUAUCGCAGACUUUUCCCAAAGAAUUUAUGUUUAUGUGUCAUGGGGCUGGUUGAUUCUUUAUUUGAAAAAGUUCCAAGAAAGUUUUCAAAAGGACGAUGCUCGCCUUAUGAGAGUGAUGUUGUGUUUGUGGUUGUCCUUAUGCUAAUUUUCUUCUUAAGUUUUGUAGACCGAGUGCUUGUUGAAGUUAUGUAUACAAAUGUACUUUAAUGAGUAUGAUCAACCAAAAAACAAAGUCGGAGAUUAGAAACUCAAGGCAUAGAAGAGACAAAGACGAGGAUGGUCGAUGAUCUAAACCGUCGAGGUCGCACCACCGUUCACGAUCUAGAGAUAGAGAGGGAUAUGCAUAAAAGUAUACGGGAGAAAAGGAGACAAGAGAGUUGAUAGAGAUCGCAAGAAGGGUAGACAUAUAGAAAAAUAAACUACUUGGUUUUUUUUUUUUUGCACUGCAGAAUUAGAGAUUUCACUUUAUACACAAAUGCUGCUAUACCCUCUUCACAUUGUCUCUAUUAAUCAAUUGUUCAGCUACAUGGGGUUGAGUGGAUCAUCAAGGAUUAUCAGAUGUUUGAUGAAUUUCUUUGGAAGGAAAUGACCUGACUCCUGAUUUGUUUUGUAUUUUAUAUGGUUUUCGGGUUUAUAAGGAUGAACUGAGGAAAAAGCUCAACCCUCUAUUCAAUGAGCUUAAAACAUCAUGAGCCUAUUUUUUGCACUGUUGUUAAUAUGUCAUUCAACUUUCUGUCCCAUCAGCCAUGUUCUUCAAUGAAAUUGUAUCUGGUUCAGUUCUGACAAUGCAAAAUUGUUUUCAGACUGAUUCAUACUGGGUUUGAGUCAAACAUAAUAUACCAUUGCUCUGUAAAGCAAAAUCAGUU